UACGUAGGGUGCAAGCGUUGUCCGGAAUUAUUGGGCGUAAAGAGCUCGUAGGCGGUUCGGUAAGUCAGCUGUGAAAUCUCCACGCUCAACGUGGAGGGGUCAGCUGAUACUGCCGUGACUUGAGUCUGGUAGGGGAGUGCGGAAUUCCCGGUGUAGCGGUGAAAUGCGCAGAUAUCGGGAGGAACACCAGUGGCGAAGGCGGCACUCUGGGCCAGUACUGACGCUGAGGAGCGAAAGCGUGGGGAGCGAACAGG
RNAcentral lists this ribosomal RNA (254 nucleotides) under uncultured bacterium. RNAcentral describes it as "partial 16S ribosomal RNA". It matches the Rfam family "Bacterial small subunit ribosomal RNA", at positions 524 to 776 of the family's 1533-position model. The record is from RNAcentral.